AGCAGAAGCUGACAACACAGAAGUUGCAUUCAAGUCGUACAGACAUCUUUGGAUGGCAAACACAUGCACAGAAAUAGGGGAAUAUAAGCAAGUCCAUGCUUUCCAGAAAUUAUUUUUUUCCAAACAAGCAGACAACAAAAAAUGAAAAACAAAAAACAAAUACCACCACACCCAGAAACUUACCUGAAAUCACAUUUUCCCAUCUACCCUAAUAAAAGUAACAACAGCACAUGCAACAAGGAUAAAGGCAGGUGUAAGAAGUUACCCUGUGCUUACUUCGGGCAACAUCACUUUUAUUGUUUCCCACUGCACAAUCAGGAUCACUAAGCAAAUGAACUGACCAAGUGAUGCUAAACCUGGAAAGGUAACUUGAUUUGAAAGUGUACUGCUUAUGGAUAUACCACACAAUAAAAGCUGCUGCAGUUCCACAGAAGCUUCCUUCCAAGAAGGCCACAGUUUAAGCUUGAUAAUGACUUCAGCCUCGUAAUGAUCACUCCGGGCAGUCUGGACAGUCUUAUUUUCACAUCUCUACAGGAAGGAUAAUUAUAAUACAGUUGCGUGGCUAAAACUGGAAGCUGACCUACCUGCUAAGAAUGGCUUUGGACACAGGUCCUCCGAACCAGGACUGAAAGCGGCUCCAAGGCACGCUCGGAGGCAAACUUUCAAAGCACAGCGUUUCAAAUGCAGCACAAAGCCAACUUUUAAUCCUUCCUCUGUCCUCCCGAAAUCUUUUACGAAUUUCCAGUCCUAUCUCCUCGUUUGAAUACGUUUACUUUCCCCUACAUCUAGUUAGAACCGCACGAAGAACACUGGAUAAUCGCUAAAACUAGGAAAGAAUCCAGGCGAUUCAAGCGCGAGCGUCGCCAAGAGACGAAAAGGAAACGACAAGCCGAGAGCCGCCCCGGCUCCGCCAGUGGGCCCUUAGAAACAAAAUGAAACAGAGGAAGUUCCCACUGAAAAUCAAGCAGCACUUCUGUGUUGUGUAGAUGAUGGAGCACUGACACAGGUUGUCCAGGGAAGCUGUGGUGUCUCCUCCACAGAGAUCUUCAGAAGCUGCCUGGACAGUCCUUUGAGUGUCCCCGCACAGGCAAGGGUUUGAGCAGAUGGACACUGAAGACACCUCAGCCAUCCUAUGAAAAAACUCGUUUUCCAUCAUUACUUACAUUUUAUGUAUAGAUAUAUAUAUUGAAAUUAGACUGUCUUUCAUUCUAAGGUGGUGAUGGCUUUGAAAUACAAGGACUUAAGAAGUCUGUAGCAGAUUUUCAUGCGAUUUUGUUCCCUUCCAAAAUAUUACUACUCUGUUUUCUAUUUCAGCUGAGUCUCAUAAUCAAACGGCCACUACAGUCUCCAGGAUAAACAAAAAUUCUAAAGACUUAGCAUUUAUUUAACAUUUAUAGAAUUACUGCUACUACAGCUCCCAGCACAUUAAAGAUCUGGGCAAGGGUGACUGUCAUCACCUUCUGAGUCACAUUCUAGCCUGUUUUGACUGCACAGGUGUCAUCUUGAGCAUUUCUGCACUAAUGAUUCACAUAGUGACAGAGAAAAGGAAAAAGCAGAUGGGGCUGUGGCUAUCAAACUCUUGAGUCUACAAUAAGAUCUCCUUUAUUCCAUUAAUCCAGCAUUUCAAUCUGUGAAACUAAAUAACUGAUACAUUUUUAAGGACUUUGACAUCUAAUAAAAAAAAUGUAAAUUUGAGAUUGUCUGCUAACUUUAAAAGACUCAUAAAAACUAAAAUAGCAGAAAUAGCAGUUUUAUUCAUUGAAUCUGGUUUUAAUAACUAGUGCAACAAAAGACAGUUACAACCUCCCUUUUUUUUUUCCUGUAAAAAUUAAAAGAUAUUGCAGUCACAUGGUUUUCAGUUAAAAUCUUCUUUUUCUUUCCAUUUCCAAACACUCUGGCAGGAUUUUUUUUUUUUUUUUUUUUUUUCCCCAGUAUGUCUGGACAAUUAAAAGUUCUUAGCUAAUUUUAAAGAACUAAAAAUUCAUUUUUCAUCAUUUUUUGUGUAUUUUUCUGAUAGCUUUUAAGAGUAAGUCAAGUAGAAAUCUUUCUUGUACUGUGUAAGUCAUCAACUCAAAAGUUCCAGCAACACAUGUUGUGCACUGGUGAUUCAAUGGAAAUGACAAAUAAUUACAUCACAGACAAAAAUGUGUCCCUUUUCUCCAUCUGAAGAAGGGCUUUACUGCAGUUGCAGCUAACUCUCAAAUCAUUCAUUGAGUAGCAAUCCACUGACAGCUGUUUUUCUAUGUACAAAUAUUUGUGAAACACCCCCAAUUUUAUCAUUUCUUUCUAUGUCAAUAUAAACAGUUAAGGUACUUCAGGCUAGGCAUGGAAAAUAAUUACCCUGUGUAGAAAACAAUUAACCCACCUGUGAGAAGAAUGCUCAUUUCAGAUGACUGGCAGUGUGUCUAAGGUACACUAUACAAGAAUGGAAAGGAAAACCAAAUACGAUUAAGUUCUGAAAUCACAUGGGAAGCCUUUUCUGAUGAAUACUAGGAGACAAGAUGGAACGUUUCAAAUGCUAAGCCUUCAGGAAUCUACAGUUACUUCACUGCUUCAGAAGGAGAUUGUGAAAUACUGGUCAAUACAGUUUUAAUAAAUAUUUGACAAAGUA
Long non-coding RNA from Centrocercus urophasianus (Greater sage-grouse), 2611 nucleotides. RefSeq lists it as uncharacterized. The transcript is spliced from 3 exons. The record is from RefSeq and is a predicted model, not a curated record. Lineage: Eukaryota; Metazoa; Chordata; Aves; Galliformes; Phasianidae.